CCUUUAAUUUAUAUAAUAUAUACAUUUACAUAUAUGCACUUAGGAAUUUUAAAAUCUUAAUUCAAAUACAACUGAAAAAUGUAAAACAUCAUUUCCCAUACGAAAUAAAUUAUAUUUAAAUUUAGCAUUACACUCUUCAAAGUAAGCAAAAAUUAUUUUAAACCACAAUUUAAACUUUAGCCUAAAAGUUGAUUAUCAACUCAUACAAAUUGAUAUUUAUAUUUUAUGUACCUUAUUUUGCUGAGAAAUCCCGCAAUAUGCUUCAAACCUCUUGCCUCCACUUAAAUAAAAUAAAUAAAAGCCGGCUUAUCCAAGAAUUUCUAACUCUCAACUUGGAAGGUUUUAGAAAAUUCUACCAGCUUUUUGGUGAAGUGGUGGCGGGAGAAAGGAAGGGGCGAGGAGUUUGCAGUGCUGUCCUAAGUAUCAAAGUUCUUUCGUCAAGACAAGCUAGAUAACUCGAAGAUUUGGGGUGAUGGAAGGAAGGAAAAUGGGUGCUAGAUGUUCCAGUCAAAUUUAAAUAGCGCCAAGAGCAACUACAGCUGCUUCCCCCUUUGCGCGCCUGUACCAAGAAUUCGAAUUUAAAAUCGCCGGGCCGGCUAACUGUCGGUUGCUUUUCCCGGGGCUGCAGUAGUAACCCGCGAGCGACCUCCCGGGAGCCCGCUGCGGACACCGCUCGGGUCAGUGGUGGCUGACAUCUUUCCUUUCUCUACAGCGAAACUGGUCACUACUGAAUCCGGCUUUUCUAACUGGCCAUCUUUAAGAGAAACAUUCUCUGUUCAGUUCUUCUCUGGAUAGAAGAAAGAAACAAAAUGCAACUUUGAUGGCCCGAACCUAAAAGCAAAAAUUUCCUUCCUCGACUCCCCACCCGAGGUUAUGCAGAGAAAAUGGGGAGAGAGAAUCUCUAAGAAAGAACCGAUCUUCUAGGGCAAGCUGCUUACUCCCACCCCUCAUCCCGGGCUCCAAUGAUCCUUAGCCCGCGCAUUUCGAAAGGAUUUAAAGCUCGCCCAGCUCGUAAGAGGACACGGGGAGAAGACGCCGCUCCCAGACUGGAAAAGAAACGAUUAUUUGGUACAGAGCCCCACGGAAAGAGAUCGGGGAGCGUGAAAAGUCAGAGUUGGAGUGGGUCUGGGGAAAAAAGUUGAGAGGAAACCAUGACUGGGGGUGGGGGUGGGGUAGGGUGGGGGGCACUAGGGAGGCGAAUGUCUUCCCUAAUCAGGAUGCACCCACAGUUUAACCCUCCCAGAAAUUAACAUUCAGGACAACCCAGGGAAGUCUUCUUUGCAUAGUUGUUCCUGCUUUUUAUUUGCAGCCUGUAUCUUAAAAGAUAAAAAAUAAAUUUUCAGGAUGAACAAUUAAGCUUUGAAAAGAAUGGAUUUAAACAAAAUUAAAGCAGCCGUAUGAUCCACCUGAGCCACGCCCUGUCUCAGGCCAACUGGCAACAAAAAGAAAACUAUCUCAGAGGAGUGGGGGAAACAAAGAACCCCUCUCCUCCGGGUCCCGAGGAUCCUAGGGGUCACUGUGGUGAUCGGGUAAGGCCCUUUUCACAGAUGCCACACAAGUGCCAGAGGGAAGACUAGUGGCCCUGGGAUCUCUGAGCAAACCCGCUAGUGAGAGGGGACGUUCAUAUAUGUGUACGUCAAUGUACAUGUCCCUAUACAUUAAUGUGUGUGUACACAAACGUGUACACGUAGCAAUUAAAAUGUGCAAAAAAAGUCGACGGAGGUUCGAAGUCUUCCCACGGGUCUCAAAAAGAAAUGCAAAUAAAAAAACAGAGGAAAAACAACUCCGAGCGAGCGCA
Long non-coding RNA from Antechinus flavipes (yellow-footed antechinus), 1798 nucleotides. RefSeq lists it as uncharacterized. The transcript has 2 exons. The record is from RefSeq and is a predicted model, not a curated record. NCBI's taxonomy places the organism in Eukaryota, Metazoa, Chordata, Mammalia, Dasyuromorphia, Dasyuridae.